This 745-nucleotide ribosomal RNA is filed under the name uncultured Anaerococcus sp. RNAcentral's name for it is "bacterial SSU rRNA". It matches the Rfam family "Bacterial small subunit ribosomal RNA", at positions 28 to 776 of the family's 1533-position model. The record is from RNAcentral. Lineage: Bacteria; Bacillati; Bacillota; Tissierellia; Tissierellales; Peptoniphilaceae.
GAUAAACGCUGGCGGCGUGCAUAACACAUGCAAGUCGAACGAUGAAACUUAAUUGAUUUCUUCGGAAUGAAAAUAAGUGGAUUAGUGGCGAACGGGUGAGUAACACGUGAGUAACCUGCCUUACACAAGGGGAUAGCCUUUGGAAACGAAGAAUAAUACCCUAUAAAGUUAGUCAAUCGCAUGGUAGACUAACCAAAGAUUUAUCGGUGUAAGAUGGACUUGCGUCUGAUUAGCUAGUUGGUGAGAUAAAAGCCCACCAAGGCGACGAUCAGUAGCCGGCUUGAGAGAGUGUACGGCCACAUUGGGACUGAGACACGGCCCAAACUCCUACGGGAGGCAGCAGUGGGGAAUUUUGCACAAUGGGGGAAACCCUGAUGCAGCGACGCCGCGUGAUUUAGAAGGCCUUCGGGUUGUAAAAAUCUUUUUUAUGGGAUGAAAAUGACAGUACCAUAAGAAUAAGGUCCGGCUAAAUACGUGCCAGCAGCCGCGGUAAUACGUAUGGACCGAGCGUUGUCCGGAAUCAUUGGGCGUAAAGGGUACGUAGGCGGCCUAGUAAGUUAGAAGUGAAAUAAUAUAGCUCAACUAUAUAAAGCUUUUAAAACUGUUAGGCUUGAGAGAUGAAAGGGAAAGUGGAAUUCCUAGUGUAGCGGUGAAAUGCGCAGAUAUUAGGAAGAAUACCGGUGGCGAAGGCGACUUUCUGGUCAUCAUCUGACGCUGAGGUACGAAAGCGUGGGUAGCAAACAGG